Molecule: RNA transcript, 4367 nt
Organism: Venturia canescens
Lineage: Eukaryota; Metazoa; Arthropoda; Insecta; Hymenoptera; Ichneumonidae
Gene name: glycogen-binding subunit 76A-like
Exons: 3
Source: RefSeq, a predicted model, not a curated record
UUCGUGUCCUCUGGAAGUAAAAUUGAUUCGUUAUGCGGUUUGAUAAAUUUUUUUCACUCAUGCAUUAGUUCUCCUUCAAGAUGUUUCGAUGAUGAAAUAAAAACUCUGACAAAAAGGAAGUUUUGUUCAUUCCGUCGUACAUUUCAAUUUAACAAUACUUCAGAAUUCGAAUCCUGUACCGAUUGGAAGAACGGUGAUAAAAUUUAUUAGACAUAUUUAGUUUUUACAGUGCUAUUUUGAUCGUUUUCACUAUAGAAGCAUUUGUAGCCACGAAUGAAGCUUGCAAUCAUUGAAAUACAUGGCCAAGUAUGACGAUUUUAACUCACCGUUAACGAACUCCCUGCCUAUGCUAAUCUGGCACUGAUUGGCCCAGCCUUGAGCAGCGGUAGCUAAUGCAUCGUCCCAUAUCUAUAGAAAAAAAAAACAACGAACAAAAAUAGUGAUUUAUUAACAAAAAAUAAUCUUCCAUCCAUGUGAAGUAGUUUUUUUUUUUCAUUUUAGGCUACCACAUGGAGCAUUACCAGGUCUUUCAAGUAUUUCGAUCCUGGCUGAGGCCCGGGAUUUCCACCUGUCUCACUCUUUUUCGCCACCCUCGAUCUUAUCCAAUUGUGAUAGUUGAGAAUCUGUUGUUUUUCGUGCUCGGAAAGUGUUGCCUUGUCGAUUUUUUUACCACAAACUGCCAGUGAUGCGGCUUCCCGUCCGGGCGAUUCUGUGGAUCCUGGCGCAUCAUUCAAUAUGGCAAAACGCUGAGAAUGAAAGAUGUUCAUUACCAAAAAUUUGUUCAACACUUGGUACAUUUCACGAUUGUUGCAGUCAUUGAGAACGACAUAAAACGAGGCGAGGAGAGAAACCAUUCUGAGGCAAUCCUGAGAUCAGAUGCUGACGGGUCCCCAGAGUUGGAAACUGCGCUGGGAGUGGGCAUUACCGAAUCAGAAAGAGAACGUAGGAAGCCAUGUGAUGAGGCUGCUCACGAGUCCACUCAUUCUAGAUAACCAAACGACGAAAAACUCAUCGAGCGUUUAUGACGACGUGGAUAAGCAAAUAUUGGGCGCAACAGUGGGCGACGCCGGUGAUGAUAAGGAGGAACGGAACGAACGAGAGUGUGAGAAAAACAGGAAAGAUGGAGCGAGGGAAAAAGAAACGCGGAAUAACGAAGAGAAAAGAAUCAACGAGGAGAAAGAGGAAAAUCACCUCAACGGAGUGCAACGACUACGGCGGUGUUCGUCCUUGAAAACUGAUAAAAGUCGACCGCUAACUCCAGGAACAAAAAAAAUAGUCCGCUUUGCGGAUGCUCUGGGCCUCGAUCUCGCAGACGUUCGAACCUUCUUCAAUGAGAUACCGAAGAUUCCAAACUCCGCCUACUCAGAUUUAAUUUACGACGAAAGAAUCUGUAAAAACAACAGUCCCGUGAAUCUUUGCGGACUAGCCCAUUUCACGACACCUUUGUACGCCGCCACAAUGCCACAGAGUCGUAUUCACGGGGUCAAACUCGACAGAAUAUUAGUGCCCUUAUUUCAACAAUCCGGCGGUUCACGAUCUUCUCUAGAGCUGGUCCGCGAACGACUAGUUUGUUUGGAAAAUGUCGUCGUCGAAGAUCCAAUAGACCUGGCCAUUCACGGCACCAUCAGAGUCCGAAAUCUCGAUUUCCACAAAUCCGUACACGUCCGUUACACCAUUGAUGACUGGCGGAGUUUCAGCGACCUGCAGGCCAUCUACGUUCCCAAUUCUUGCGACGGCUUCAGUGACAAAUUCAACUUCCAUUUAUACUGCAACACCCUGAAAAUUGGACAGAGAAUCGAAUUCGCGAUAUGCUUCGAGUGCAAGGGCUCAUGUUACUGGGACAAUAACAGCGGUGUUAAUUAUUGCUUUCAGUGCUUACCCGCCUCGUCGAACAAUACCGGUUACAUACCCAUCACAUCGCAUUUCAUACCCAAUUUUAAUGCUCUUGAUUGGUCUAUAACUUUUUACUAAAGCGACAACUUAUGACGCUGGCUUUUCCGGUACUAGAUCAAUUGGCAUUUUGAUUGUUAAUACCAUACGAAAGAAAAUAGAAAAUCCCAGUACCGAUCAUUUGAGGACACAUUUGAGGACACGAAUGAUCGUUUGACUUUCUAUGGACUUGUGCAAUAUUUUACAUCAAUAGCAUAGAAAUAUUAUUUUCUGGAAAUGAUGGAUUUUAAGCUUGUGGAAGAGACGAUCUUUGACGAUGAGUAUAAUAACAAUGAUAAUAAUCGAGAAAUUCUGAAAAAAUAAUAAUAAUCAUUUCUGAAAGUAUUAGAUAAUCACUACGAUGAUCAUAAAAACUGCAAUUUGAUAGAGUCAUGAUAAAUGUGAAAGAAACUAUGAGAAACAUUGGAAAGAUCAUCAAUCUUUUGCCAAUAAACGGUGAAGGUACAUUUUGAGGCUUCCAAUAAAAUUUCCGGGUAUACAAGAGAAACAACCGUAAAGCAAAUUCCCAUUUUUCUCAGGAAUUCGAACAGUUCCAUAAUCCACAAAUUACCUAAUGUCACAGGAAAUAAUGAGCUAUGUUAUCUCGAAGCACGUUCUUUUCCAACUCUUCGUUCACCGAUCAUCAAGGCUUCGGUCGCCAAAGUUUAACUUUCUAUUAAAUGAAUAUAUCUCUGUUGCGUGACUAACUGAUAAUUGUUGUAAGUUUCAUACACGUCUUUACAACGUGAUGAACUUUUUUUUGAUUAGGUUAAACUUUUCUGCGGCCACGAUGAAAUUUGAAGCCCGCAACUUUAAGCUCAAAUUGGGAAGUUUUGUUUAGCAAAAUACAGCAAUGUUGAAACUUCAUCAUAUCGACAAUGAGAGUUUCCUUAGGUAACUUUUUUCCCCCACUCCUAAAAUAAUGAACUCGUACACAUCUGUAUGUUACACGUGCGUCGAUCGAAACACAAAUGUUAUUAUUUAUUCAACAAUAAAACCAGAUUGUUUAUGUUUGUGAAUAUUACACUGUAUACGAAAUUAUAGUAAAUAAGUAGGACUAAUAAAAUUUUUUUAGAUAUAAUAGAAAAUUGUUGGCUGGUGACUUUUGUUAAGUCGUAUCUAGCAUUACACAAACGUUUACGUCUAUUUAUAUAUUUACAUUAAAAAUUUAUACUGCCUGAUCUUUGGGUUGUUCUUCCUUUUCCUUUUUCGUUCCUUUGUGUGUCGGAAUGUGAGGAUGAGAGCAGAUAGAUGAAGCGGGUAGACCGAGGAGCCCAGGUGAGAGGGAAGCGCUGAGGCGGUCAGCACACAGGUACCGUUUUAUCAGUUAGUCUAGAACCGAGGCUGGGGAUGAAGGGACGAGAGAGUUCCCGAACGUGUGUGAGCGGAAUAUAAGGCUUGCAUUCAAAAGGGAGAGUGCAGCUGGAACGCAUCAUCAAGUUUUUGUGGAGUCUAUGUGGUUGAACGUACUACGUCUGUGUGGUUGAAUCGAACGUCUGUGUGAAAAUUCUACUGUGGGCGUGGGAGUGCGUGGUAGCAGGGGCAGAUGGAUCUUCGUAGAAAAAUACAUUAGAAACCAUUUGACCCCACCUUUUUAAUGGCCGGCGCGGCCACCGGAUGACGCUACUGUCGACGGAUCAAUAUGAAAACGUCACCUAUGCUUCGCUCGCAGUGGGAAACACCUCACAUUGUAGUUUUACCUUCGUAGCCGGUUCACGAGUUUGAGUCCCCGUGAUAGCAGUGAUUUUUUUCAUCGUGCUUAUAAACUUUGUGCAUUUAUUUCGAAAUUUGUUGUAAUGUUCGGCCGAAAUCAACGGAAAUUCGUUGAUGUGUAUUUAUUUUUAGCGGUUCCUAUAUUUCAAUAAUAAAAAGAUCUCAUAAUUUGUGUUCUUUAAACCUGUGUGCAUUCCGUUAUUAUUAUUAUCCGUGACUAAAGAAACCGUCGACACCUGUCGUAGUCAAGAAAUAUGGGGCGGUGUAAAAAGUACACGUUGUUGACUUUUGGACGUAUUUGGUGAGCCUUGAUGUGGCCAACGAGGUGGAAUCAUCAAUUGACAAUCAAAAUUACACUCCAGAACAAAAUGAAACGCCGAAUGAUUUAAUCGAAUUCUAGUUAAGAUUAAAAGAAAUAUCCGACGAAAACACUCCAGGGGUGUAUACAAGAAUACUCCAUCCAGGGGUACUCCUGUCUCUCACGACUAUUUUGAUACUCGUCCGCGGUUGUAGUUUCUCAUCGUUUGCAGUCGAGGAAAAAUGUCUAAGAUGUAUGGUUUUGAUAUUAUUUCACCACCGAGGAGUCCGGAGAGUUUCCAAACUAUGUUGAUCAAAAUCUUGGCGGAGAAUUAUGCAUCGGAGAUUGUGGUGCUGCUUUGUUAUUUAUAAUAGUUAAGAGAAAGUUGUUUUUAUCUUUAAAUAAAUGUACUUAUUGUUCAUGGCUA